CAGUCGCCGCGGUAAUACGUAGGUGGCAAGCGUUGUCCGGAAUUAUUGGGCGUAAAGGGCUCGCAGGCGGUUUCUUAAGUCUGAUGUGAAAGCCCCCGGCUCAACCGGGGAGGGUCAUUGGAAACUGGGAAACUUGAGUGCAGAAGAGGAGAGUGGAAUUCCACGUGUAGCGGUGAAAUGCGUUGAGAUCGGAAAGAACACCAACGGCGAAAGCACUCUGCUGGGCCGACACUGACACUGAGAGACGAAAGCUAGGGGAGCAAAUGGGAUUAGAUACCCCUGUAGUCCCUGUCUCUUAUAA
This 301-nucleotide ribosomal RNA is filed under the name uncultured bacterium. Its description in RNAcentral is "partial 16S ribosomal RNA". It matches the Rfam family "Bacterial small subunit ribosomal RNA", at positions 509 to 809 of the family's 1533-position model. The record is from RNAcentral.